UUUUCCGGUAAGGGGGACCUGCGGAGGGAUCAUUACACAAAUAUGAAGCCGGGCGAAAACCUCUCGGGGUUACAGCCUUGCUGAAUUAUUCACCCUUGUCUUUUGCGUACUUCUUGUUUCCUUGGUGGGUUCGCCCACCACUAGGACAAACAUAAACCUUUUGUAAUUGCAAUCAGCGUCAGUAACAAAUUAAUAAUUACAACUUUCAACAACGGAUCUCUUGGUUCUGGCAUCGAUGAAGAACGCAGCGAAAUGCGAUAAGUAGUGUGAAUUGCAGAAUUCAGUGAAUCAUCGAAUCUUUGAACGCACAUUGCGCCCUUUGGUAUUCCAAAGGGCAUGCCUGUUCGAGCGUCAUUUGUACCCUCAAGCUUUGCUUGGUGUUGGGCGUCUUGUCUCUAGCUUUGCUGGAGACUCGCCUUAAAGUAAUUGGCAGCCGGCCUACUGGUUUCGGAGCGCAGCACAAGUCGCACUCUCUAUCAGCAAAGGUCUAGCAUCCAUUAAGCCGCUUAACCUUUGACCGCGCAACAGGCACGCACAAACGCGAAAAGUAAGCAUAUCAAUAAGGCGGAGGAA
Molecule: ribosomal RNA, 573 nt
Filed under: Alternaria carthami
Lineage: Eukaryota; Fungi; Ascomycota; Dothideomycetes; Pleosporales; Pleosporaceae
Description: partial 18S ribosomal RNA
Rfam family: 5.8S ribosomal RNA (bases 201-354)
Source: RNAcentral